GACGAACGCUGGCGGCGUGCUUAACACAUGCAAGUCGAACGGAAAGGCCCUGCUUUUGUGGGGUGCUCGAGUGGCGAACGGGUGAGUAACACGUGAGUAACCUGCCCUUGACUUUGGGAUAACUUCAGGAAACUGGGGCUAAUACCGGAUAGGAGCUCCUGCUGCAUGGUGGGGGUUGGAAAGUUUCGGCGGUUAGGGAUGGACUCGCGGCUUAUCAGCUUGUUGGUGGGGUAGUGGCUUACCAAGGCUUUGACGGGUAGCCGGCCUGAGAGGGUGACCGGCCACAUUGGGACUGAGAUACGGCCCAGACUCCUACGGGAGGCAGCAGUGGGGAAUAUUGCACAAUGGGCGGAAGCCUGAUGCAGCAACGCCGCGUGCGGGAUGACGGCCUUCGGUUUGUAAACCGCUUUCGCCUGUGACGAAGCGUGAGUGACGGUAAUGGGUAAAGAAGCACCGGCUAACUACGUG
Molecule: ribosomal RNA, 468 nt
Filed under: uncultured bacterium
Lineage: Bacteria
Description: partial 16S ribosomal RNA
Rfam family: Bacterial small subunit ribosomal RNA
Source: RNAcentral